Molecule: ribosomal RNA, 850 nt
Filed under: Pseudocercospora madagascariensis
Lineage: Eukaryota; Fungi; Ascomycota; Dothideomycetes; Mycosphaerellales; Mycosphaerellaceae
Description: eukaryotic LSU rRNA
Rfam family: Eukaryotic large subunit ribosomal RNA
Source: RNAcentral
GAAACCAACAGGGAUUGCCCUAGUAACGGCGAGUGAAGCGGCAACAGCUCAAAUUUGAAAUCUGGCGUAAGCCCGAGUUGUAAUUUGUAGAGGAUGCUUCUGGGUAGCGGCCGGUCUAAGUUCCUUGGAACAGGACGUCAUAGAGGGUGAGAAUCCCGUAUGUGACUGGCUUGCACCCUCCACGUAGCUCCUUCGACGAGUCGAGUUGUUUGGGAAUGCAGCUCUAAAUGGGAGGUAAAUUUCUUCUAAAGCUAAAUACCGGCCAGAGACCGAUAGCGCACAAGUAGAGUGAUCGAAAGAUGAAAAGCACUUUGGAAAGAGAGUUAAAAAGCACGUGAAAUUGUUGAAAGGGAAGCGCCCGCAACCAGACUUUGCGGCGGUGUUCGGCUGGUCUUCUGACCGGUUUACUCGCCGCCGUGAGGCCAUCAUCGUCUGGGACCGCUGGAUAAGACCUGAGGAAUGUAGCUCCCUUCGGGGUGUGUUAUAGCCUCUGGUGAUGCAGCGCGUCUCGGGCGAGGUCCGCGCUUCGGCAAGGAUGAUGGCGUAAUGGUUGUCGGCGGCCCGUCUUGAAACACGGACCAAGGAGUCUAACAUCUAUGCGAGUGUUCGGGUGUCAAACCCCUACGCGUAAUGAAAGUGAACGGAGGUGGGAACUUUUUGUGCACCAUCGACCGAUCCUGAUGUCCUCGGAUGGAUUUGAGUAAGAGCAUAGCUGUUGGGACCCGAAAGAUGGUGAACUAUGCCUGAAUAGGGUGAAGCCAGAGGAAACUCUGGUGGAGGCUCGCAGCGGUUCUGACGUGCAAAUCGAUCGUCAAAUUUGGGUAUAGGGGCGAAAGACUAAUCGAACCAU